RNAcentral lists this ribosomal RNA (373 nucleotides) under Trematomus eulepidotus (blunt scalyhead). RNAcentral describes it as "partial 12S ribosomal RNA". It matches the Rfam family "Bacterial small subunit ribosomal RNA", at positions 799 to 1374 of the family's 1533-position model. The record is from RNAcentral. Lineage: Eukaryota; Metazoa; Chordata; Actinopteri; Perciformes; Nototheniidae.
GCCGUAAACAUUGAUAGGUUAAUACAACCCCUAUCCGCCCGGGAACUACAAGCACAAGCUUGAAACCCAAAGGACUUGGCGGUGCUUUAGAUCCUCCUAGAGGAGCCUGUUCUAGAACCGAUAACCCCCGUUCAACCUCACCUUUCCUUGUUUUUCCCGCCUAUAUACCGCCGUCGUCAGCCCACCCCGUGAGGGCUUAAAAGUAGGCUUAAUUGGCACAGCCCAAUACGUCAGGCCGAGGUGUAGCGUAUGGAAAGGGAAGAAAUGGGCUACAUUCCCUAUUUUAGGGCACACGAAUGAUGUGCUGAAACGCAUGUCUUGAAGGAGGAUUUAGCAGUAAGCAGAAAGUAGAGCGUUCUGCUGAAAUUGGCUC